AUUGAACGCUGGCGGCAGGCCUAACACAUGCAAGUCGAACGGUAACAGGAAGAAGCUUGCUUCUUUGCUGACGAGUGGCGGACGGGUGAGUAAUGUCUGGGAAACUGCCUGAUGGAGGGGGAUAACUACUGGAAACGGUAGCUAAUACCGCAUAGCGUCGCAAGACCAAAAAGGGGGACCUUCGGGCCUCUUGCCAUCGGAUGUGCCCAGAUGGGAUUAGCUAGUAGGUGGGGUAACGGCUCACCUAGGCGACGAUCCCUAGCUGGUCUGAGAGGAUGACCAGCCACACUGGAACUGAGACACGGUCCAGACUCCUACGGGAGGCAGCAGUGGGGAAUAUUGCACAAUGGGCGCAAGCCUGAUGCAGCCAUGCCGCGUGUAUGAAGAAGGCCUUCGGGUUGUAAAGUACUUUCAGCGGGGAGGAAGGGAGUAAAGUUAAUACCUUUGCUCAUUGACGUUACCCGCAGAAGAAGCACCGGCUAACUCCGUG
This 490-nucleotide ribosomal RNA is filed under the name uncultured bacterium. Its description in RNAcentral is "partial 16S ribosomal RNA". It matches the Rfam family "Bacterial small subunit ribosomal RNA", at positions 30 to 507 of the family's 1533-position model. The record is from RNAcentral.